Molecule: ribosomal RNA, 1343 nt
Filed under: uncultured bacterium
Lineage: Bacteria
Description: 16S ribosomal RNA
Rfam family: Bacterial small subunit ribosomal RNA
Source: RNAcentral
GACGAACGCUGGCGGCGUGCUUAACACAUGCAAGUCGAACGGAAAGGCCCUGCUUUUGUGGGGUGCUCGAGUGGCGAACGGGUGAGUAACACGUGAGUAACCUGCCCUUGACUUUGGGAUAACCUCAGGAAACUGGGGCUAAUACCGGAUAGGAGCUCCUGCUGCAUGGUGGGGGUUGGAAAGUUUCGGCGGUUGGGGAUGGACUCGCGGCUUAUCAGCUUGUUGGUGGGGUAGUGGCUUACCAAGGCUUUGACGGGUAGCCGGCCUGAGAGGGUGACCGGCCACAUUGGGACUGAGAUACGGCCCAGACUCCUACGGGAGGCAGCAGUGGGGAAUAUUGCACAAUGGGCGGAAGCCUGAUGCAGCAACGCCGCGUGCGGGAUGACGGCCUUCGGGCUGUAAACCGCUUUCGCCUGUGACGAAGCGUGAGUGACGGUAAUGGGUAAAGAAGCACCGGCUAACUACGUGCCAGCAGCCGCGGUGAUACGUAGGGUGCGAGCGUUGUCCGGAUUUAUUGGGCGUAAAGGGCUCGUAGGUGGUUGAUCGCGUCGGAAGUGUAAUCUUGGGGCUUAACCCUGAGCGUGCUUUCGAUACGGGUUGACUUGAGGAAGGUAGGGGAGAAUGGAAUUCCUGGUGGAGCGGUGGAAUGCGCAGAUAUCAGGAGGAACACCAGUGGCGAAGGCGGUUCUCUGGGCCUUUCCUGACGCUGAGGAGCGAAAGCGUGGGGAGCGAACAGGCUUAGAUACCCUGGUAGUCCACGCUGUAAACGGUGGGUACUAGGUGUGGGGUCCAUUCCACGGGUUCCGUGCCGUAGCUAACGCUUUAAGUACCCCGCCUGGGGAGUACGGCCGCAAGGCUAAAACUCAAAGGAAUUGACGGGGCCCCGCACAAGCGGCGGAGCAUGCGGAUUAAUUCGAUGCAACGCGUAGAACCUUACCUGGGUUUGACAUGGAUCGGGAGUGCUCAGAGAUGGGUGUGCCUCUUUUGGGGUCGGCCCACAGGUGGUGCAUGGCUGUCGUCAGCUCGUGUCGUGAGAUGUUGGGUUAAGUCCCGCAACGAGCGCAACCCUUGUUCACUGUUGCCAGCACGUUAUGGUGGGGACUCAGUGGAGACCGCCGGGGUCAACUCGGAGGAAGGUGGGGAUGACGUCAAGUCAUCAUGCCCCUUAUGUCCAGGGCUUCACGCAUGCUACAAUGGCUGGUACAGAGAGUGGCGAGCCUGUGAGGGUGAGCGAAUCUCGGAAAGCCGGUCUCAGUUCGGAUUGGGGUCUGCAACUCGACCUCAUGAAGUCGGAGUCGCUUGUUGUCGCAGAUCAGCAACGCUGCGGUGAAAACGUUCCCGGG